UACGUAGGCAGCAAGCGUUGUUCGGAAUUACUGGGCGUAAAGAGUGUGUAGGCGGUGCUCUAAGUUUGGUGUGAAAUCUCCCGGCUUAACUGGGAGGGUGCAUCGAAAACUGGAGUGCUCGAGGGUGGGAGAGGUAAGCGGAAUUCCUGGUGUAGCGGUGAAAUGCGUAGAUAUCAGGAGGAACACCUGUGGUGUAGACAGCUUACUGGACCACUUCUGACGCUGAGACACGAAAGCGUGGGUAGCAAACAGG
Molecule: ribosomal RNA, 253 nt
Filed under: uncultured bacterium
Lineage: Bacteria
Description: partial 16S ribosomal RNA
Rfam family: Bacterial small subunit ribosomal RNA
Source: RNAcentral